This is a long non-coding RNA of Lolium perenne, 486 nucleotides long. RefSeq lists it as uncharacterized. Lineage: Eukaryota; Viridiplantae; Streptophyta; Magnoliopsida; Poales; Poaceae. The record is from RefSeq and is a predicted model, not a curated record.
AGGUUCUUAGCAGGAGGCUGGGACUGCCUUGAAGAUGCAGUUAAUUCAUCUCAAUUUUCCUUUGUUGUCCCCAAUGAAUCGCUAGAAGACCACAUCAGGAAGCAAGCAUCAGCUGAAAGUUAUGAGUUACCUAAGAAAGUACAAGAUCCCCUUGGUGAACUCCAGCUUCAAGCACCCAGCGUGCAACCACCAGCACAGUCGAGCUAUAAACCCCGCCAACCUCUAACAUUUCGUGGUGUUUGAAGCACCAGCCUUCAGUACAGUCUUGAAUGACUGUUGUCGCUGUCACUACUGUGUCACAGCUGAACUCUGCCAAAUGUAGGAUACGCAAGCCAGAUCUGUUUGCUGUGAACUACUCCAUGAGGCUGUAUCUAACUCUCCCUGGUUGCCCUACGCAUUGAAGUUUUGUGAUUUAAAUGAGGAUACCCAAGACAAUGGCAUAGUCCAUGGUACACAAAUAGCGGAAUAGAUUGAGAUUUGGCAUUA